GGGGGUACGUUGAUCGGAUAUUGGGCGUAAGCGCGCGCAGGUGGUUUCUUAAGUCUGAUGUGAAAGCCCACGGCUCAACCGGGGAGGGUCAUUGGAAACUGGGAGACUUGAGUGCAGAAGAGGAUAGUGGAAUUCCAAGUGUAGCGGUGAAAUGCGUAGAGAUUUGGAGGAACACCAGUGGCGAAGGCGACCAUCUGGUCUGUAACUGACACUGAGGCGCGAAAGCGUGGGGAGCAAACAGGAUUAGAUACCCUGGUAGUCCACGCCGUAAACGAUGAGUGCUAGGUGUUAGGGGGUUUCCGCCCCUUAUUGCUGCACCUAACGCAUUAAUCACUCCGCCGGGGGAGUACGGUCGCAAGACUGAAACUCAAAGGAAUUGACGGGGGCCCGCACAACCGGUGAAGCAGGUGGUUUAAUUCAAAGCACCGCGAAAAACCUUACCACGUCUUGCCUUCCCAUUGACCACUGUAGAGAUAUGGUUUCCCCUUCGGGGGCUAAGGUGACUGGUGGUGCAUGGUUGUCGUCUCCUCGUGUCAUGUGAUGUUGGGUUAAGUCCCGCAACGAGCGCAACCCUUGAUCUUAGUUGCCAUCAUUUACUUGGGCACUCUAGGGUGACUGCCGGUGACACACCGGAAGAGGGUGGGGAUGACGUCAAAUCAUCGUGCCCCUUAUGACCUGGGCUACACACGUGCUACUGUGGACGAUACAGACGGUUGCCAACUCGCGAGAGGGAGCAAUCCGAUAAUGUCUUCACACUUCAGAUUGUACGCUGCAACUCGCCUACGUGAUCCCAGACUCGCUAAUAAUCGCAGAUCAUCGUGGCGGCGGAUGAAUACUUUCCGGGGCCCGUGUACACACCGCCUGUCACACCGAGGAGAGUGUUGCAACACCAGAUAUCGGUGAGGUCACUCUGUAGAGCC
Molecule: ribosomal RNA, 920 nt
Filed under: Lysinibacillus sphaericus
Lineage: Bacteria; Bacillati; Bacillota; Bacilli; Caryophanales; Bacillaceae
Description: bacterial SSU rRNA
Rfam family: Bacterial small subunit ribosomal RNA
Source: RNAcentral